Long non-coding RNA from Notolabrus celidotus (New Zealand spotty), 1331 nucleotides. RefSeq lists it as uncharacterized. Lineage: Eukaryota; Metazoa; Chordata; Actinopteri; Labriformes; Labridae. The transcript has 11 exons. The record is from RefSeq and is a predicted model, not a curated record.
UUACAAUAGAACUACAUUUCCCGUGGUGCUUCAGUCAGCAGCGGAGUUGGGCUUGUUGGGCGCGCUGUACAGAAGGCAUUUCAAACAAAAAUGGCGGAAAAACAUACAGGAGCUGGAAAAGAAGGUGUCGAAAGUGUCGCCGUCGCUGACACUGGAAAUGAGGUCAACUCGGCGAAACAUACUUCGAAAAGAUGCUCUUCUUCAAGCCCGAGUGCUGCAUCCCCCUCACACAAAUCACCCAGAACGGACUCCUCAUCAUCCAUCUCUCGGACGACAGAGCCUGUGGAAGGACAUUCGGAUACAGACCAACAAGAGCUUCAGACCAGGAACAUUGAGGGACCUUGCAGCCCUACUGUCAGCCCCAGUGCACAGAGAAAGUCCUGGAGGAGGGCAACCAUAACCCGACGCUCCCUCCCCUACCCUUCAGAACCAUAUAAAGUUCUGUGCAGGGCAUAAAAUCCAUCAUUGCCACAGCAAGAGAGGUUCGAGAAACUGAUUGAGGCUUCAAUGAAGCUUGCAAUAGAGAGAAUGCAAAGUUCACUGCAGUCAGUACCAAAACACCUCACUAGAAGAUUUUCAAAAACAAGUUGAACGCAUGCAGAAAGAGUGCACCUGUAUAGCUGAAAACAUACACAGCAAGUCACAGGAUCAUCUGAUUCCUGCUAGUGCAAUAAGUGAUCCUGCAAUGCACGGAGCAAUAGAAAACUUCCAGAAAGCCAUCUGCAGGCUCCAGGCAGAAAGUGAAUCUUGGGAGGCACUCUUGAACAAACACCAGAAGAAGCAGAAGAGUUGGGAAGGAAAGUGGUGCAGGGCCAAGAGAAAGGCUUGUUGUUGGACCCUUCUUCUAUGGCCCAGUCUUCACAGUACCAUUUCAUACAGAGUAAACCUGACUACCAUGGUCUCCUCUGUAGCCAACAGCCCAUGUUUCACACUAUGGCAAUGAUAAUGGACACUCAGUGUAAGAUGGUUGGGGAGCUCUUUCCAUCAAGAAGCAUUCCGAGUUAUUUGUGAAAGAGACCAGUGGGAGAUUGGCAGCAGAGGCAGGAUUUCAGGAUCUUUCACCUAACGUGGCCAAGAACCUUAUGACUGCACCAUUAUCCUCUACAACUACAUAGUCACCCUAACUGGAGGCAUGCAUCAGCAGUCUACUAUGGAUGGAUCUUUAUGUUUUUAUAUAAAGUUUACAUUUGAAUAUUUUCUGGUCAUUUUGAUGUUUUAUUUUUUGGUGACAUGGUUCUUUGUUCGGUCUUUUUGUUAUAUCAAAGUAAACAAGAGUUCUAUGUUUCAACUUCAAAUAAAACCAUCUUCCACAAAAGCUGGUUUGACAAUGA